AUUUAGUGGCGGACGGGUGAGUAACGCGUGAGAAUCUACCUUCAGGACGGAGACAACAGUUGGAAACGACUGCUAACCCCCGAUGUACUGAAAAGGCAAAUAUUUAUAGCCUGAAGAAGAGCUCGCGUCCGAUUAGCUAGUUGGAGAGGUAAAAGCUCACCAAGGCGACGAUCGGUAGCUGGUCUGAGAGGACGAUCAACCACACUGGGACUGAGACACGGCCCAG
Molecule: ribosomal RNA, 226 nt
Filed under: uncultured bacterium
Lineage: Bacteria
Description: partial 16S ribosomal RNA
Rfam family: Bacterial small subunit ribosomal RNA
Source: RNAcentral